Molecule: ribosomal RNA, 507 nt
Filed under: uncultured bacterium
Lineage: Bacteria
Description: partial 16S ribosomal RNA
Rfam family: Bacterial small subunit ribosomal RNA
Source: RNAcentral
AUUGAACGCUGGCGGCAGGCCUAACACAUGCAAGUCGAGCGGCAGCGGGAAAGUAGCUUGCUACUUUUGCCGGCGAGCGGCGGACGGGUGAGUAAUGCCUGGAAAUUGCCCAGUCGAGGGGGAUAACAGUUGGAAACGACUGCUAAUACCGCAUACGCCCUACGGGGGAAAGCAGGGGACCUUCGGGCCUUGCGCGAUUGGAUAUGCCCAGGUGGGAUUAGCUAGUUGGUGAGGUAAUGGCUCACCAAGGCGCCGAUCCCUAGCUGGUCUGAGAUGAUGAUCAGCCACACUGGAACUGAGACACGGUCCAGACUCCUACGGGAGGCAGCAGGGGGGAAUAUUGCACAAUGGGGGAAACCCUGAUGCAGCCAUGCCGCGUGUGUGAAGAAGGCCUUCGGGUUGUAAAGCACUUUCAGCGAGGAGGAAAAGUUGAUGCCUAAUACGUAUCAACCGUGACGUUACUCGCAGAAGAAGCACCGGCUAACUCCGUGCCAGCCGCCGCAGUAA